UACGGGGGGAGCAAGCGUUGUUCGGAUUUACUGGGCGUAAAGGGCGCGUAGGCGGUAGCACAAGUCAGUUGUGAAAUCUCCGGGCUUAACUCGGAAAGGUCAACUGAUACUGUGCGACUAGAGUGCAGAAGGGGCAACUGGAAUUCUCGGUGUAGCGGUGAAAUGCGUAGAUAUCGAGAGGAACACCGAUGGCGAAGGCAGCUCGCUGGGACGGUACUGACGCUGAGACGCGAAAGCGUGGGGAGCGAACAGG
This 253-nucleotide ribosomal RNA is filed under the name uncultured bacterium. RNAcentral's name for it is "partial 16S ribosomal RNA". It matches the Rfam family "Bacterial small subunit ribosomal RNA", at positions 524 to 776 of the family's 1533-position model. The record is from RNAcentral.